ACGCACGCUGGCGGUGUGCUUCACACAUGCAAGUCGAACGGUAAGGCCCUUUCGGGGGUACACGAGUGGCGAACGGGUGAGUAACACGUGAGUAACCUGCCCUCAUCUCUGGGAUAACAGUCGGAAACGGUUGCUAAUACUGGAUAUGAGCUUGCAAGGCAUCUUGUGGGUUGGAAAGAUUUUUUUGGUUGGGGAUGGACUCGCGGCCUAUCAGCUUGUUGGUGAGGUAGUGGCUCACCAAGGCUUCGACGGGUAGCCGGCCUGAGAGGGCGACCGGCCACAUUGGGACUGAGAUACGGCCCAAACUCCUACGGGAGGCAGCAGUGGGGAAUAUUGCACAAUGGACGGAAGUCUGAUGCAGCAACGCCGCGUGCGGGAUGACGGCCUUCGGGUUGUAAACCGCUUUCAAUUGUGACGAAGCUUUUUGUGACGGUAGCAGUAGAAGAAGCACCGGCUAACUACGUG
RNAcentral lists this ribosomal RNA (465 nucleotides) under uncultured bacterium. RNAcentral's name for it is "partial 16S ribosomal RNA". It matches the Rfam family "Bacterial small subunit ribosomal RNA", at positions 29 to 507 of the family's 1533-position model. The record is from RNAcentral.